GACGAACGCUGGCGGCGUGCUUAACACAUGCAAGUCGAACGGUGAAGCGCCUUCCUUUUUGGUGGGUGUGGAUGAGUGGCGAACGGGUGAGUAACACGUGAGUAACCUGCCCCCUUCUUCUGGAUAACCGCAUGAAAGUGUGGCUAAUACGGGAUAUUCUGGGUCUGUCGCAUGAUGGGUCUGGGAAAGAUAUUGUUUCGGUGGGGGAUGGGCUCGCGGCCUAUCAGCUUGUUGGUGGGGUGAUGGCCUACCAAGGCGGUGACGGGUAGCCGGCCUGAGAGGGUGGACGGUCACACUGGGACUGAGACACGGCCCAGACUCCUACGGGAGGCAGCAGUGGGGAAUAUUGCACAAUGGGCGCAAGCCUGAUGCAGCGACGCCGCGUGAGGGAUGGAGGCCUUCGGGUUGUGAACCUCUUUCGCCAGUGAAGCAGGCCUGCCUCGUUUGUGGGUGGGUUGACGGUAGCUUGAUAAGAAGCGCCGGCUAACUACGUG
This 494-nucleotide ribosomal RNA is filed under the name uncultured bacterium. Its description in RNAcentral is "partial 16S ribosomal RNA". It matches the Rfam family "Bacterial small subunit ribosomal RNA", at positions 28 to 507 of the family's 1533-position model. The record is from RNAcentral.